This is a long non-coding RNA of Micropterus salmoides (largemouth bass), 485 nucleotides long. RefSeq lists it as uncharacterized. The transcript is spliced from 2 exons. Lineage: Eukaryota; Metazoa; Chordata; Actinopteri; Centrarchiformes; Centrarchidae. The record is from RefSeq and is a predicted model, not a curated record.
GUAAAUAAGAGCUGUGCCUGAAUCCACUGUUGUCACGGAGCUAAAGGCAGUGAAUUCCGCUAAAAUGGUCAGGUUUUGGUAAAGAGUUGGAAGCCUUGUGCAGCUGAGAUCCAUUCCACGGAGUGAUACCAAUCUACAUGUUCCAGACGUUUUUCCAGAGCUUUGUGGAUUCCCAGUCUAGGUGGCUGGGUGGCAAGCCAACCGUGUUUGUGACUCUGACUUUAGACGGAUUGCCAGGAUCUUCCUCAUCUUUAUGGUGGUAGGACAAACACUAACACAAACUUAAAAGGGCCCCAACGGUGAGAAAUGAACUCUUGUCAAUAAAGGCAAGUGGAACUAAGGACGAACUGAGCUCAACGAAGUUAAAAGGAAAGGGUUUUUUUUUUUAUGUGCACACUUUAUUAUUUUAGUUUGUUAUUUUUCAUACCUGCUUUCUUAUGUAUGUACCAUCCCUGUGUAUUUAAUACACUUAAUGCAAACUGUAA